Molecule: long non-coding RNA, 8730 nt
Organism: Dunckerocampus dactyliophorus (ringed pipefish)
Lineage: Eukaryota; Metazoa; Chordata; Actinopteri; Syngnathiformes; Syngnathidae
Exons: 3
Source: RefSeq, a predicted model, not a curated record
AAUGAGAAAGGCGGGGAGAAGAGGCAGCUUGUGUGGGAAAGUUUUUUUGGGGCGGGGGGAAGAAGAAGAAAAAGACGACGACGUUUAAAGAGUGAAAAUGCAUUCCUUGAAAGUGCAAUUACAUCUUCUGAAAGAAAACAAGAUGACGACAACAGAUAGAGGCGUCCAUCGUUUUUCCAGCCCCUGGAGGAAGCACAAUAGCAGGUGACUAACUCAAGCACACAUUGACACUGUCAGCCUAAAGGAUAAAAAACAUUACUGGCAUAGUCUGUGUUGUUCGGUACUAUGGUUGGCCCUUUUUUAUCACAGUUCCUUGGUUCAUUUACACCAAGCAGGAUUCAAUAUUAAUACAUGGAAUAUUUUCAUAGUUGGAGCAUAGAAAACCUGUUUAUAAUCGUCAAAAUACGGGUUUUAACAUUAUUAGAGCCCUCAAGACAUGAACUAACACCCCUAUUGUCCCCUUUACAUUUGUAUUACACAAUAUAGUAGAUAUAAUCAGAGAAAAUAAGACAUAUUGGACAUAAAUUAGACAUAAGAUACUCGCACUUUAGCAGUUCCUUGUUAUUUUUUCUGAGCAGCAUUCUUCCGCCAUUACAAUACAUCAGUGUAUUGUAAUGGCGGCUUGACAUGGCUUUACACUGGUAAAUAAGCCAUUUAAGACAUAAAUAAAGCCCCUCCCCGAAUAGUAAAUGUGUUCCAUAAAUGCUUAAUUUAGGCCAAGAAUGAGUACACAGUGCUUCAAUAUUCAUAUUUUUUUUACUAAUAAUAGUGACACGAAUCUAGUGACUGUCUAAUUGGACAAUUACUGACACCUACUGGCCAAUGUAGACUACUACAUUCACAAUAACAAUACUUCUCCUGCCUUGUAUUUGUAUUUUAGUUAAUUGAGCUAUUUUUAUGCUUGAAAAUGCUUAAUUGAGGCCAAGAAUAAGUACAGUGUGCUCCAAUAGGAAUUUUUUUUACUAAUAGGCCGUAUUCAACCACAGAGCAGCGAUCAUUUAUUAAUUAAUUGCUUGUUGAAAAUCUGUGAUUAAGUGAGGGAGCGAUGUUGGAACCGUGAUGUAUCAAAUGAUGAGUGUACUACACAUUCUGUAGGACGUUUCCGCAGCAAAAUAAAGUGUCUAUAUUACGUUUGUCUUUUCAUGCACUCAUCAACCAAGAUGCACCAAAGUGUUGAAUUGUUUAUGGACAAAUGCAUUGGGAGUUGGAUGACAUUUGUGAUCUUUGAAGCUUUUUUUGUGUGUAUUUUCUUCACUUUUAACUUCCUGUAGCAUUUGUAGCCUGAUACUUUUGUACAUAAAUUUAUGAGAAGCAAGUUUAUUGUUGUAAAUGUACAACUUUAUUCUAACAUUUGUAACAUGCAUUGCCUGAGACAGCUUUGAAAAAGGGAAAAAGAAAAAAAAAUAAUAAUAAUCAGAGAUUUUGAGAAUGAAGUUGUAAAUUUCCGAGAAUAAAAUAAUAAAAAUAAAUAAAUAAAUUUAAGAGAAGCAAAGUCUUAAAUUAAUCAGAAUUAAGUUGUAAAUUUACAAGAAUAAAGUAUAUUGUCGUAAAUUUACAACUUUAUUCUAACAUUUGUAAGACAGCUAUGAAAAGGGGGGACUUAUGUGACCUUUGGCCUUGGGCAAAGGUAAUUUUGCAACUGCUUUUCUCGCAAAUUUAGGACGUUAUUCUCGUAAAUGUCAGACUUUUUUUCUCAAAAUCUCAGAUUUUUCUUUUCAAUGUGGCCCUAAUACUCUGGUAGAUUUAGAACACGGUAAGUAUCAUGUUUAAAAACGCUCAUGAAAGUGGAUCAUGUGAAACAAGGUAAUGUUAAAAAUGCUCUUGAAAGCGGAUCACAGGAGUUUGCAAUCUAAGAGUGACAUUUGGAUGUUAUCUGGCUGAUUGCAGCUGUUAUCUGUUUGCUUAGUGACUCAUUCACCAAACUCCUGCAGGGAACAUAUUUGCAUAUGCAAAAAAAGAGAGAGGGGUCAAUAAACAAUCAAAAAAAAACCUGUGCAUUGACGCACACAACAACAUUAGGUACACGUGGACCUAAAAGAGCUGCAUCCCAUAUUGUUGUCUCAUUGUCAAUCAAAUUAAAAGCGGUUGCUAAUAGUUGCAGUUCUGAGUUUGUGUUUUUCCACACCGCUUCUUUAUGAUUUUGAUUAAAUGUGAGCUGAGACAGAACCCCUCCUCCUUGGUGGGCGGUAAUUGCAGCACAAAACAAAAACAUUUGAAUGCAUGUGUGUGCUUGUCCCAUCACCUCAGUCAGGUAGCAAAGAGCUAAAGCGUUUCAAGCCAAAGUGUGAGCUCGAUGUUGCUGUUUUAGCUCCCUGCAAAUGUAACUGCACGCUAGAGAAUAGCAAAUAUUGCAGAGCAAAGCCCCUUUGCCCUCCAUUAUCAAAAGGUCUCUUUAAUCACACACACGCACACAGUUCACUCGGCCCCAGAAGAGAUCCAACCAUUAUUAUCUUUUGCGGUGAAUAACAGGGCAUGUAAGAGAAGAAUAACAUUAACACACAGCAGCAACAAAUGCACAGUAUCAAUUGUGACACAUUAGCAGGCCGUCAAGGCAACAGGUAGCGCUGUGAGCCCCUGUCAGACUGUGUUCGCCAAUCAGAAGGCGGGGAAAAAGGGGCGAUAAUAAUAAUAAUAAUAAUAAUAAUAAUAAUAAUGAUAGGGAUUUGAAGAAAGAACCAUGGUGACUCCUGAACAAAACAAUCAACAAAACUCUUAAAGCGGCACGGGGGCCAAGUGGUUAGCAUGUCGGCCGCACAGUCUGGGUUCGAAUCUCCAUCGGGCAUCUCUGUGUGGGGUUUGUACAGUAUGUUCUCCUCGUGCACGUGUAGGAUUUCUCCAGGGUUCCUCCCACAUUCCAGAAACAUGCAUGUUAGGUUCAUUGGCAACUCUAAUUGUCCAUAGGUACUGUAUUAUGUGAAUGGUUGCCUGUCUAUAUGUGCCCUGCGAUUGGCUGGCGACCAGUCCAGGGUGUACCCCGCCUCUUGCCCCAAAUCAGCUGGGAUAGGCUCCAGCAUACCUGUGACCCUAGUGAGGAUAAGCAGCAUAGAAAAUGGAUGGAUGGACUAAGUAGAGGUUUCCAUCAGUAGUAGCUCACCACCUGGUCAAAGAAUGUUACAUAGAUAUGUUAUAUGUUUUAUAUUAAGACAAUGACUACAUCAUUUGAGUGCAGAUGUGCUUUGUAAAUACGAGUUAAAGUACAAGUAAAUGUUGCCAUUCAUGUAAAUAGUAACGUAAGUAGCUCUAAUAGUCAUGUAUGUUGGAGACCCCUGCCUUAUUUAAAAGUUUAAAUGCAUAAAACACACAUUUAACAUACAGUAAUCCCCUUGUUUAUUGAGGUUAGUUGGUUCCAGACCUGUCUGUGAUGAGUGAAUUUCCGUGAAGUUGGAUUCAAUAUUAAUAAAUGCAAUAUUUUCGUAGUUGUGGCAUGGAAAACCUGUUCGCCAUCUUCUAAAUACAGUUUUAACAUUAUUACAGCCCUCAAGACAUGUAAUAACACUCCUGCACUCACCUUUACAUUUGUAUUACCCAAUAUAGUAGAUAUAAUCAGAGAAAAUAAGACAUAUUAAACAUAAAUAAGAUAAUAUUGAUUUUUUUUCUGGACAGUGUACUUCCAGUGUACUUCCUUGUGGCUUUAAAUGGCUUUAAACUGGUAUUACCCAAUAUAGCAGACAGAAUAAGAGUAAACGAGCCAUGUAAGACGUAAAUAAAACUCCUGCUCGAGCAGUGUCACAGUAAAUGUGUUCCCUUGGGAACCUUAGUGACGAGUCUAGUGCCUGUCUCACUGAACACCCACACCUAGAGGCCAAUGUGGAAUACAGUACUACAUUCACAAUUACAAUGCUUCUUCUGCCUUGUCUUUGCAUUUGAGUUCAUUUAGGUGUUUUUAUGCAGGUACAAUUUAAUUAAAUAUGCAUUUUUUCUUGCUAAUAAUAGGUUGUAUUCAACCACAAAACAGUGAUCAUUAAUUAAUUAAUUUCAGAAAAAACACAAGGGAGUGAUAAUCGAACUGCAAUAUUACGAUGGACGACCGUAUACAUUUUUAUCAGUGGUGUGCAGUCUAAACACUAUCUGAAGCACUGACGUACACUUUACGACUUAGAUGCUAUUAUUUGUUCCAUGCAGUUGUAUUAAUUUACUCCAGCAGUCAAUUAUUUUCAUUUAGUAGCAUGUUUCUUGGCUGCACUGCCUUCGAUAGUGGAUGUGAGCAAAACUGGUCUGCCAAGUUGUGCCCACAAUGGCUGACUGAGGACCAUAAAUUGACAUGGCUGGUGAGUAGAUGUAUUUUACUUACUGAUACUGUACUUUUACCUGUAUUUUUGUUGUGAUAUUAUAUAAGUGUUUAUGUUUAAGUGUAGCAAGGCGUAAUGGUAAUAUCACUGGUACUUAACACGGGCGACUAUGGUUUGAGACCCUGGCACGGCCAGUUGAGUCCCCACUGAAGGCCAAAGUACCAUAGCACCGCUCGCCACUGAUUUUUAUGUCUGCGGCCCUGGUCUAUGCCCCUGAUGUUUGCUUUGUUUGCAAAACAUUUGAUUUGAACAUUAAAAAUAAGCUCUUUUCGGUUGAAUGUUAAAUUAUGCAAGUGUAAACAUAUGAUCUACUUCAAUGUCAUUUUGUUAAAGCUGUUAUGAAAUAAACUAUAGCAUUACCGUUACUUGCUAAAAGCAAAGGAGCUACAGCAGCAUCAUUCUAUCAGUGUUUACUUUUAUUAUCCUUUUAUUGUUUUAUUUGCAUUGACGGCUAUAAGCGGCCAGACGGUGAGAUGAUCUUUUGACAAACAUGCGUCACUUGCAGGACCUCAAAACACACAGACUGUUUUUGUGUGUGUGCUUGUGUGUUUGCAUAACCCACAAUUUCAUAACCACAUUUGUUUCCAACUUCCCACUCAACUGCUGGAGCUCAGUAACAUAUACAGAUUUUUUUGCACACACACACACACACACACACGCACUGUUAAAAGUACAUCAUUGUAUCCUCAGGCCUUGUCACCCUUAACCCUUUACUCAAAACAAAAAGUAUGGACUAGAGUUUUUCAAUGCCAAAAGUGGCCUACUUCUUUGAAAGAGCUGUAUACAGAAGACUAGCCAGGAGCUACUGUUCAUCGAUAUUGUAAUCAUUUUGUAAUGACCGACAUUAACUGGCCUGAUGACCUUUAAUACGUUCAUUAUGCAAAUGCUCACGGGCGCAAACAUGCCCACCAUCCUCACUUAGAACUUGGCCAGAUUGUGCUUAUACAAGCAGCCCUGCAGUAGGGUUAGCAUGUUCAUCACCAGCUGUUUGACUGUGUGUGUGUGUGUGUGUGUGUGUGUGUGUGUGUGUGUGUUGUUUACAUCCAUGCAAAGUUUUUACAUGCUGACAUUUGGUUUUCAAUGGUCCGACCUUUACAAUUGAGGGUUCCCUAGCAUGCAGACGCAAAUAUGACUAUCCACAGGGAGUCUGCAUUUAAAAAAAAAAAUUAAAAUAAAUAAAAAAUCAUCCUGAGACGUGGCCUCCAAGGCAGAGAGCUCCGCUUGAGCACACCUCACGAAUCUCACCAGCUGUCUCGUCUGAUCUGUCAGCCGCCUGAGCCCAGGGCUUUGCUGCUUAAUGUCAGCAUUGUGAUCUUGCAAGAAUUAACUUGGGAAUCGUACGACAUUUUCAGAAAAAUGAGUCACUAUAAAUGCAGUAUUCACAUAAUCCGUUCCAGUGUUUGAAACUUGUCCAAAAGCUUCCAUCCUUACACUUCCAUGAUGCGGUGUCACAAAUGAGCGCUUUAACAUGUGAAGAAAAUUGUAAGAUUUAUGCCUGCUCUCUCUCUGGGCUCCGCUCACUGCCACCAAAGAAAAAAAUAAUUCACAGGCAUUAGGAAGCGUAGCAAGACAGGACGAAGUCACUACUGCUAGUCAGCGGCGAGACGGCAUGAUGCACGCUGACAGCCUUCAGCAAUGACUGAGUGGGCUUGCGGCUAUACUGUCGCACUGUUGCCAUGACAUCUGGAAUUUGCUAGGAGGUCUUGGCGGCUUUUGGUGCGAGAGGUCUGAUGACAGCUUCUGCAUUAAAGAUGCGAAAAUACGCCAUCAGAAGGCAACACAGAUAUUUGAGAUUUCAUGUCAACAUCCCGAGCAUCUGCUACUGCACAUCCUCUGGUGACUAAAUCUCCAGUCGGAAUGAUUUAGUGUUCUGUUGAUCUUGAAGAAGUGGAGGCAUAAUGGAUAUUGCUUGAGGUUUCCCGCCUACGCGGGCUUACGUGAAAGUUGAAACAAAAAGCAAACACAACGCAGGGUUUGAUGCAGGACUAGUUCGAAUUUUUGAUUGUCAAAUGGAGUAAGACUCCCCCGUCAGAUGAAAUUAGCACCAUUGUUUGUUGGCAUCAUCACAACUUACCAUUUUGUUAUAAAAUUAACUUUGGAUGUACAGUAAUUGAGUCAUUCAGCUCCUAAGCUGCAAGACUUCACUUAACAUUGCACAAAUGUGAUCGUUUAGCAUGACCUCCAUGUUCUUCCAUUUUCUCUUUGUCCAGCCCCGCCAAACAAAAUGUCCGGUGUUUGUCAUAAUAAGCCUUUCUGUCGCACUGCGAGGUAACAAUGACUGUUUAGUUGUCAAGCUGUCUUUAAUAAGUGCAGACUAUCUGUAGAGCGGACAUUGUGUUUGCUGCCUUGAAGUUCCUAGUGGGAAGUAAAUAGUUUGCCAGUAUGCUGCUGGUCCAUUGUUUGCCUGCUGCUUCUGUAAUCAGCUUCUGGGUUGCUCAAGACGCCCUGGAUCGCAUUGCUUGAUUCUGAUAUUGACAGACAUUUCUGAGCACUUGAAAAUGUGAUGCCUGUGUCACCGCAGUUAAAACUCUUCAUGUCUCAAAACUUUCUGGGAAUUGGCGAAACAAAUAUCAUGGCAUGGCAACUUUGAAAAAAGUGGUAAAAACACAAUGUCGUGAUAAAGAAUAUCAUAGAGCAUUUUUAGUUGGUUUAUUGGUUUGUAGUGUCUACAGCGGAAACUAUGGACUUGUUUGCCCCACCACAGGGUUUAGUUUGCGGGAUUAGUGUCGGAAUGGUGCAAGCAUAUAAAAAAGAUAACUAGGCACCAACUCCCGAAAUUCAUUAUGUCAAGCAUGAUACGCUUUGGGAAUUUAAAAAGACAAGAAAAGCAACACCAGGGGAAGGAAAUGUCAUUUUAUUCCGACUAUCAAAACUUGUCUCAUGCCUUAGGUCAUUAGUUCCCCAACAGAAUCAAUAAAUCAGACUUACUGGAUGUACUGACCUACUGUACCUAUGCCUACUUCCCUUUCUACACAGCCAUCUACUUAUGUCACCAGUAUGUGAUACAGGAGCCAAAACAAUCCUUCUUAACCCAAAUUCCAUCCUGCCUCAGGUGCCGCUAUGGGUGGCAACAUUUCAUGGAACUAAUCCUCAUGUUUGAUUACGCCGCCUCCUUCCCUCUGCUUCAUCCUCAUGCUGUGUCUGCGAGGCUGCGCAUCAUCAUCUAGUUUGGAUGUUUGCACACAGUUAUCUGACCUUUCCGGUAAUCCGGUCAUCGUCUCGCCUUCCCCAUCUGCGUCCAUUGCCAAUUUACUAGCACGCUUCCUUCCUCUUCGCUUUCCUCCCUUGCCUCGCCAUUCAUUAUCUCAUCCCUCCAUCCCCCGGUCGGCAUAAGUCCAAGCACCGCUUUCCCUUCCUGUUCUCCUCAUUGUCACUCGCCUUUUUGUGUGCCUGCUAUACUGUCAUUCACAAACGCUGUCAGGGCCCAAAAGUUAAUUUGCACCUUCACAGCAGUCUACACUGAAUCUUGGUAAGGGCACAGUUUUAACCUUGAUAGAACCGAGCGACUCUGGCAACAUGGCUAAGAUAGCUAGAUAGAUUGAUAAAUACUUGAUAUAUCCUGAAGGAAAUUCAAAUUAACCUUGUUCAAUUUGCAUCUUCAAGGGAGGACAUGUUUGUAAGACAUUCUGUGUUCGGAGAUGGAUCUGUGUGAAAUGUUGCGUGUUAAUUCAUCAUAGCAACCAAGAUUUUGGUGUUUGCUUGUAAACAAAAGGCCUCUAUCUGUGCUCAAUAGAUCAAUCCUUUACAGUCCUCGUCAGUUUGAGACGAGAGUUGCAGUACAAAAUCUAGCCUUACCAAAUACAGUAAUAUGAAGCUUGCUGCCUAGUUAGCACAUAACUUAAUUGCUAGUAUCGCUAUAGUUAGCAAUGAAACAUACUAGCAUAGUAUUCAUGCCGAGUUAAUAUAUUAACUGUAGUCAGCUAUAACUGACUAAUGAACCUUAGUUGCUCACAUGUCACGUUUAUUUGUUCAUGCGUGCAGCUGUAAAGUCCAAGAAAAGUCCAGCCUGUGCGGCAGUAAAAAUGUUCCCUUUGUCUGCUCUUCCUGGAAAAACGCUUAGUAAAUGUGACAAUAAUGGCGAGCUGGAUCAACACAAGGGCACGUCACUGAACAAUUGAGGCUGUUAUAUCACAUUUGAGAUUGGUGGAACAUUGCCUGAAGGUGAGGGUCACCAUAGAAACGCUCUGAUGGCCUUCAUGCAUCAGAGUCUGCCCUAGCCAAAUGAGGAUAUCCUGUUUUGAAUGAGACAAAAACCUGUUAUUUAACCUUUUACUAUGUACAUUUCAUGCCUCCUUAUGGACAAAUAUACAAGUCUCAGCACUGCAGUUUUUAGAAUCCCUUGAUCUGAUGCAAUUAUUUUUUUUUUGAAUUGUCCAUCAGCAUUCUGUGUUCAGCUCGGGGAUGCUUCCUGCAAAAAUGGGAGCAACAAUGAAUAAUUUAC